GACGAACCACACAAACGUUAUUCGGAAUUACUGGGCUUAAAGGGUGCGUAGGCGGCGCAGAAAGUAGGGUGUGAAAUCCCUCGGCUCAACCGAGGAACUGCGCCCUAAACUACUGUGCUCGAGGGAGGUAGAGGUGAGCGGAACUUAGGGUGGAGCGGUGAAAUGCGUUGAUAUCCUAAGGAACACCGGUGGCGAAAGCGGCUCACUGGACCUUUUCUGACGCUGAGGCACGAAAGCUAGGGUAGCGAACGGG
RNAcentral lists this ribosomal RNA (253 nucleotides) under uncultured bacterium. RNAcentral describes it as "partial 16S ribosomal RNA". It matches the Rfam family "Bacterial small subunit ribosomal RNA", at positions 524 to 776 of the family's 1533-position model. The record is from RNAcentral.